GCUGUCAUUCCACACAACCACUUGAACAACAUCACAACAGCUAACAUUCCUUGAGUACGUACGAUAUGUGAAGGACUAAGGCUGUUUCUGUGAUCCACACCACUGAGACAGGCUUCCCAGUAGUGACAAGAGAACUCUCCUAUCACAAGAGGCCUCUGAACACUGGUAUAAGAGGCAGAGGGAGAGGGAGAAGCAGGCUCCCCGCUGAGU
Molecule: non-coding RNA, 210 nt
Organism: Callorhinus ursinus (northern fur seal)
Lineage: Eukaryota; Metazoa; Chordata; Mammalia; Carnivora; Otariidae
Source: RefSeq, a predicted model, not a curated record